Molecule: ribosomal RNA, 816 nt
Filed under: Bacillus anthracis (anthrax bacterium)
Lineage: Bacteria; Bacillati; Bacillota; Bacilli; Caryophanales; Bacillaceae
Description: bacterial SSU rRNA
Rfam family: Bacterial small subunit ribosomal RNA
Source: RNAcentral
UUAUGAAGUUAGCGGCGGACGGGUGAGUAACACGUGGGUAACCUGCCCAUAAGACUGGGAUAACUCCGGGAAACCGGGGCUAAUACCGGAUAACAUUUUGAACCGCAUGGUUCGAAAUUGAAAGGCGGCUUCGGCUGUCACUUAUGGAUGGACCCGCGUCGCAUUAUCUAUUUGGUGAGGUAACGGCUCACCAAGGCAACGAUGCGUACCCGACCUGAGAGGGUGAUCGGCCACACUGGGACUGAGACACGGCCCACACUCCUACGGGAGGCAGCAGUAGGGAAUCUUCCGCAAUGGACGAAAGUCUGACGGAGCAACGCCGCGUGAGUGAUGAAGGCUUUCGGGUCGUAAAACUCUGUUGUUAGGGAAGAACAAGUGCUAGUUGAAUAAGCUGGCACCUUGACGGUACCUAACCAGAAAGCCACGGCUAACUACGUGCCAGCAGCCGCGGUAAUACGUAGGUGGCAAGCGUUAUCCGGAAUUAUUGGGCGUAAAGCGCGCGCAGGUGGUUUCUUAAGUCUGAUGUGAAAGCCCACGGCUCAACCGUGGAGGGUCAUUGGAAACUGGGAGACUUGAGUGCAGAAGAGGAAAGUGGAAUUCCAUGUGUAGCGGUGAAAUGCGUAGAGAUAUGGAGGAACACCAGUGGCGAAGGCGACUUUCUGGUCUGUAACUGACACUGAGGCGCGAAAGCGUGGGGAGCAAACAGGAUUAGAUACCCUGGUAGUCCACGCCGUACACGAUGAGUGCUAAGUGUUAGAGGGUUUCCGCCCUUUAGUGCUGAAGUUAACGCAUUAACACUCCGCCUGGGGAGUACGG